This 84-nucleotide transfer RNA is filed under the name Chloroflexota bacterium. RNAcentral's name for it is "Chloroflexi bacterium (hydrothermal vent metagenome) tRNA-Leu". It matches the Rfam family "tRNA". From Rfam's summary of the family: Transfer RNA (tRNA) molecules are approximately 80 nucleotides in length. Their secondary structure includes four short double-helical elements and three loops (D, anti-codon, and T loops). Further hydrogen bonds mediate the characteristic L-shaped molecular structure. tRNAs have two regions of fundamental functional importance: the anti-codon, which is responsible for specific mRNA codon recognition, and the 3' end, to which the tRNAs corresponding amino acid is attached (by aminoacyl-tRNA synthetases). tRNAs cope with the degeneracy of the genetic code in two manners: having more than one tRNA (with a specific anti-codon) for a particular amino acid; and 'wobble' base-pairing, i.e. permitting non-standard base-pairing at the 3rd anti-codon position. RNAcentral also lists the same sequence under 2 other names. Lineage: Bacteria; Bacillati; Chloroflexota. The record is from RNAcentral.
GGGGCGGUGGCGGAACGGGUAGACGCCGGGGACUUAAAAUCCUCUGUCCGCAAGGACGUGCGGGUUCGAAUCCCGCCCGCCCCA